CGGUAGUGAGUGGCGAACGGGUGAGUAACACGUAGGUAACUUACCUCUAAGACGAGGAUAACGACUGGAAACGGUCGCUAAAACUGGAUAGGAUCAUUUCGAGGCAUCUCGAAUGAUUUAAAGGGGCUUUCAAGCCACACUUAGAGAAAGGCCUGCGGCGCAUUAGCUAGUUGGUGGGGUAGAGGCCUACCAAGGCGAUGAUGCGUAGCCGGACUGAGAGGUCGAACGGCCACAUUGGGACUGAGACACGGCCCAAACUCCUACGGGAGGCAGCAGUAGGGAAUUUUCGGCAAUGGGGGAAACCCUGACCGAGCAACGCCGGCGUGAAUAGAAGACGUAUUUCGGUAUGUAAAGUUCUUUUAUUAAGGAAGAAUAUCACGGAUAGGAAAUAAUCUGUGAGUGACGGUACUUAAUGAAUAAGCCCCGGCUAACUAUGUGCCAGCCGCUGC
RNAcentral lists this ribosomal RNA (449 nucleotides) under uncultured bacterium. Its description in RNAcentral is "bacterial SSU rRNA". It matches the Rfam family "Bacterial small subunit ribosomal RNA", at positions 86 to 518 of the family's 1533-position model. The record is from RNAcentral.